GAUGAACGCUGGCGGCGUGCCUAAUACAUGCAAGUCGAGCGAACAGACGAGGAGCUUGCUCCUCUGACGUUAGCGGCGGACGGGUGAGUAACACGUGGAUAACCUACCUAUAAGACUGGGAUAACUUCGGGAAACCGGAGCUAAUACCGGAUAAUAUAUUGAACCGCAUGGUUCAAUAGUGAAAGACGGCUUUGCUGUCACUUAUAGAUGGAUCCGCGCCGCAUUAGCUAGUUGGUAAGGUAACGGCUUACCAAGGCGACGAUGCGUAGCCGACCUGAGAGGGUGAUCGGCCACACUGGAACUGAGACACGGUCCAGACUCCUACGGGAGGCAGCAGUAGGGAAUCUUCCGCAAUGGGCGAAAGCUUGACGGAGCAACGCCGCGUGAGUGAUGAAGGUCUUCGGAUCGUAAAACUCUGUUAUUAGGGAAGAACAAAUGUGUAAGUAACUAUGCACGUCUUGACGGUACCUAAUCAGAAAGCCACGGCUAACUACGUG
RNAcentral lists this ribosomal RNA (497 nucleotides) under uncultured bacterium. RNAcentral's name for it is "partial 16S ribosomal RNA". It matches the Rfam family "Bacterial small subunit ribosomal RNA", at positions 28 to 507 of the family's 1533-position model. The record is from RNAcentral.